UUUCCGUAGGUGAACCUGCGGAAGGAUCAUUCACAAGAAGUGUUUGUAUGGCACUUUAAAAUUCACAUACACCUUGUGUGUAACGCUUUGAGGUCCUUUUCUCAUUUCUCCGGCUUCAGAAUGUUUGUUCUACAGCUGCGGAAGUCAAGAUAAGGAGGCUUUAUAUAUCUUAACUCUUGAUCUUUAACAAAUUUGUCUGAAGUUCUAUUACGAAUUAACUUUCAAAAUCAAUACAACUUUCAACAACGGAUCUCUUGGCUCUC
RNAcentral lists this unclassified non-coding RNA (263 nucleotides) under plant metagenome. RNAcentral describes it as "partial contains small subunit ribosomal RNA, internal transcribed spacer 1, and 5.8S ribosomal RNA". The record is from RNAcentral.